CCUCACUGCUGUGUUCCCCAAUGCACUUCAUCACACAGGAAAAAAUCGAACAGAGGACAAACGUUUCACCGUUUCGCCAAAGAUCAGGGACUACGUCGACAGUGGAUAAUAAACAUCAGAAGGGAUCCUGGUCGUAAUUUUAAGAUAAACACGUACACAAAAGUGUGCUCGGAGCAUUUCCUCCCAGACUGCCUUGUGAAAAGCAAGACUGGCAUCACCAAGUUGAAACAGGGAGCUGUUCCAACUGUGUUUGCAUGGAGUUCUGUCAGACCAGAGAGGAGGAGUGUUGUUAGAACUGCAAGUAAUGUUUCCACGGAUCUCACUGAUCAACAUGAUGUGAAUGUGUUGAGUGAAGAGACACCCCCUCUGCACCCAGGCCAUGAAUAUGCUGCACUGCCUCCCUCACUUCAAGAUCAACUUGAGGAAGCCCGAAAGAC
This is a non-coding RNA of Pimephales promelas (fathead minnow), 437 nucleotides long. Lineage: Eukaryota; Metazoa; Chordata; Actinopteri; Cypriniformes; Leuciscidae. The record is from RefSeq and is a predicted model, not a curated record.